GACGAACGCUGGCGGCGUGCUUAACACAUGCAAGUCGAACGGAAAGGCCCUGCUUUUGUGGGGUGCUCGAUUGGCGAACGGGUGAGUAACACGUGAGUAACCUGCCCUUGACUUUGGGAUAACUUCACGAAACUGGGGCUAUUACCGGAUAGAAGCUCCUGCUGCAUGUUGGGGGUUGGAAAGUUUCGGCGGUUGGGGAUGGACUCGCGGCUUAUCAGCUUGUUUGUGUGGUAGUUGCUUACCAAGGCUUUGACGGGUAGCCGGCCUGGGAGGGUGACCGGCCACAUUGGGACUGAGAGACGCACCAGAAUCCUACGGGCGGCAGCAGUGGGGAAUAUUGCAGAAUGGGCGGGAGUCUGAUGAAGAAACGCCGCGUGCGGGAUGACGGGCUUCGGGUUGUAAACCGCUUUCGCAUGUGACGAAGAGUGAGUGACGGUAAUGGGUAAAGAAGCAACGGCUAACUACGUG
This 468-nucleotide ribosomal RNA is filed under the name uncultured bacterium. Its description in RNAcentral is "partial 16S ribosomal RNA". It matches the Rfam family "Bacterial small subunit ribosomal RNA", at positions 28 to 507 of the family's 1533-position model. The record is from RNAcentral.